CGGUUGCCUAACCGCAAGGAGGGCGCCACCACGGUGAGNUUCAUGACUGGGGUG
This 54-nucleotide ribosomal RNA is filed under the name uncultured bacterium. RNAcentral describes it as "partial 16S ribosomal RNA". The record is from RNAcentral.